Molecule: long non-coding RNA, 1430 nt
Organism: Xenopus tropicalis (tropical clawed frog)
Lineage: Eukaryota; Metazoa; Chordata; Amphibia; Anura; Pipidae
Exons: 2
Source: RefSeq, a predicted model, not a curated record
CCUAAUUUUACCUAAGAAAACUGUAAAAACUUAUUGACUCGAGUAUAAACCUAGGGUUGGAAAUGCAGCCGCUACUGUGGCUAUGAGUUCCAGGAUUGUUAUACUUGGAAUUGCCACUGUGGUAAUGUUGCUAUAAGUUCUGGGCUAUUAUACAUAAAAUUGACUUUUAUUUACUUACUGAGUAUGUAUCAGUAAAAUGUAAUAGAGCUGCUAAAGCUGGAGUUUUCCAGCUCUCUCGAGUGGAACCUAGGCAGGAAAACGUCAAUCCCUAGUUCUGUACACUCAGGUCCCUACUCUUGGCCAGUGCACCCAGGGCUCUAAUCCUGUCAGGGCUGGCCUCUGGCGAGAGACCAGCAGGUAGGAGCCUUUGUAUAGAUAACCCCCAGAAAUCCCUUAAAGGGCCAGACAGCCAAGUGAGAUGAAAAUAGGUAGUUUAAUGAAAACAAAAAUAAAAGUAAAGUACAAGCCUGUGGUAAGGUAAGGUACAGAGUCCGGCAAUAGGAAAAUCCGUGAGCAGGCAGAGGUCAGUCCAGGCAGGGUUCAAGCAAAUCCAAUAAUCAGGCAGAGGUCAAAUCGGGGAACCAAACAGAGAUCAGGCAGGGCAUAGGCAGGGAACAGGAAUCAGAAGUGGCAAGACCAAGCUCAGCAGGAAUGAUGAUCGAGCAACUGGGUGUUGCCCAAAGAGGGUUUAUAUAGGCGGGUAAUUAGAAAAGCAGCCAUACAUGUGAUAAACGAUAUAUGUUGCGACAUAAGCAAAACUGGUGGAAAUGCAGAAGGCACAUAAGGGCAACUGAUCCCAUGGAGCUCAUGGAGCCUCCUGUGGCUCACUAAGCAAGUGCACUUGCAGUCCAGCACCAAGUCCAGGGUUCGAUUCCCUGCAGUUCCUGACAAAUCCUUACUAAAUCUCUGUGGUUGAGCUCAGGCUGCUCCCUAGCUACCCUACUCCUAGCUAUCAUUCCUAGAGUGAUCUGUGACAGGGAAUACCUUGCAACUAACUACCUUUGCCUAGGCUCAAUCUUCUUCCCCUGCCUUCCUAGGGGAAAAUUGAGAAAGAUAGACAGAUACACCAAGAUAGACACUGGGGGAUGAUUCAGCUAAAUAGAGAAGACCCUGGCACUUGGUCACUCUAUUUGGUCCUUGUGUCUAUGGGUUGGAAAAUCAGAGCCCAAUGGGAUAGGCCAUUCAGUAAUUUCAGGCAAUCACCAUAUUGUCAUUGCACUGUGUAGGCACCCAUGCUCUCCAUUUCCCUCUUCAUUACUGUGUUGCUGUGUACUGAGGAUGUGACACCUUUCAUUAAUAUCUGUUGUGAUGCCUACAGCCUGUGUUUAGUGACCUAUGUUUCUAUCCUCACCACCGUGCCGUUAGGAGCCUAUACAGAGCUGCUUGCCGUGAUGAGUGCAGUUGGCGCUGCACACCCCCCCCAAAAAAAA